AAGCUGCAUGGACUGGAAAUAUUUUUCAUGAUUCUAAGUGAGGUUUUAGGGAUGCUAACCUCUCAAGCAGGUUACUGGGACUUUCUUCUGAGAUGAUGAGAUCCGACAUC
Non-coding RNA from Otolemur garnettii (small-eared galago), 110 nucleotides. The record is from Rfam. Lineage: Eukaryota; Metazoa; Chordata; Mammalia; Primates; Galagidae.